Molecule: long non-coding RNA, 2531 nt
Organism: Hippopotamus amphibius kiboko
Lineage: Eukaryota; Metazoa; Chordata; Mammalia; Artiodactyla; Hippopotamidae
Exons: 3
Source: RefSeq, a predicted model, not a curated record
CCCAAAACAGUUUUUAGCAGAGAUCUGAUAAACAGCAGCGUCAUUUUGGGUACAGCUAGGAUGAAGUGAAGACACAGGCCACAAUCCCUCUGCUGGACAAACCAGCUACCCUGAAGAUACUAUGACUUGAGUGGGAAGAAGAGAAAGGAGGAGAGGAAAAUGAGCCCGAGAGAAACAAAGGACCAGCACAGCUGCUAAAGCACCAGCAGGCCGACCACCAAGAAGCCACCAUAAUUCAAAUUCCUCCCCCAGGAUCCAGAUGGCUGUCCGGGGAAUGGCUCUGUGCAGGAGGAAAAAUUAAACUGACAAAGACAGAUGAACAGGAGAAACACAUACAAAGUUUAUUGAAUUUAUACAUGUACGUGGAGCCUUCACAAGAGAAUGAAGACCCAAAGAAGUGACCAGAGCAGGAAGCUUUUAGGCACAGAAACAGUACAUUUGUGUGAAGGAUUGACAAGACAAAGGGUUCGGGCUGUGGGUAGUAAAUGGUGAAGAGCUAAUAGGAAGAUGAGGGUGCAUUUAACAAGGUUCGUUUGUACAGAGCUCUUGGCCCCAAUUUCCCUGUCUCUGGUGAUAAGAAGGCCUUCCCUUCUCCUGGCACAGAGAACGCACCUUUCACAGGGGAGUUUUAGGACCUGGUUCUGGGAAGAAAGGUCAGAGUGACCUUCCUGCUUCUUCCAUUAAAAAAAAAAAAUUCCCUUGGGACUUUCCUGGUGGUGCAGUGGUUAAGAAUCCACCUGCCAAUGCAGGGGACACGGGUUCAAUCCCUGAUCCAGGAAGAUCCCACAUGCCAUGGAGCAACUAAGCCCUGUUCAUCACAACUACUGAGCCCGUGUGCUGCAACUACGGAAGCCCACAUGCCUAGAGCCCAUGCUCCACCACAAGAGAAGCCACUGCAAUGAGAAACCCGUGCACCGCAAUGAAGAGAAGCCCCCAUUCACCACAACUAGAGAAAGUCGGUGCACAGCAACAAAGACCCAAUGCACCCAAUAAAGAAAUUAAAAACAAACAAACAAACAAAAAAGACCCUCUAAAAAAAACAAAAAAAAAUUCCCUCGGUUUAAGAUUUUCCAUAUGCCAAGGUACCAUAUUUGGGGGUAGCGUGUCCUGAACCCUAUCAGCUCUUUCCUCUCCCCUCAGAUCAGGACUCGGUAAAGAAUAUAACAAAAGUACUACAUGUGUUACAAAUCUUCACUGUGUGGGGCGCUGGAGGUACAGCAGGGAACAGACCGGACAAGCUUCUCUUCCCCUGGAACUUACCUUCCAGUUGGGGGAAGCUCACGACAAACAAAAAUACAAAAAAAUAUAUAUCAUGACUGGAAACAACCCAAGUGUCCAUCAAAGGAAUAACAACUCUGGUGGAUCCGAACCCGGAAACUCAGAGACACCACUCAGCCAUAAAAGGGAUGAACCACUGACAGAGCAGAUGACACAGAUGAUUCUCAAAAUACUUAAGUGGAGUGAAAGAGCCUGAUGCAAGAGAGUACAUGCUCCACGAUCUCAUUUAUAUCAAAAUUCUAGAAAAGACAAACUAGUCUCCAUGACCAAAAGCAGAUCAGUUGUUGUGUGAUGAUGGGUGGGCAGAGAGGGCAGGAAAGUCAGGGUGUAAAGGGGCAUUGAGAGUUCUUUUGAGGGGAUAGUUACGUCCACUCUCUUGAUGGUUCCAUGCGUGUGUGUAUGUGUUCAAGCUCACCAAAUUGAACACUUUAAACCUGUAGAGUUCACUGUAUGUCAAUUACACCUCUGCAAAGCUAUUAAAUGUGUGUGUGUACGCACGCGCGCGUGUAUACACAUAGAUAUAUACAUUAUGUCACGUGCUACAUGAAAAGUAAAGCAAGAUGAGGAAGGCAGGACAUGCUGGGAGCAGGAGGCCCUAUUUUAGAUGGGUCGUCAGAGGAGGCCUCAGGUGAUUUUGAGCAGAAACCUGAAGGCAGUAAGAGAACUGGCCAUGGGGUCAUCUGGGGAGAGAACAUUUCCGGUAGAAGGAGGAGCUAGGGCAAAGGCCCUGUGGGCCUGAGUAACACUGGAGCUCAGUGAUGGCUCAGAACUGAGUUAAUGCUUCAAUAUCUGGACUGAAUCAUUGCCCCAAGCUUCACACACAGUCUUGCAUCUGUCCUGCCUACCCCAGUAGAGUUCAUAUCUUUGGCCAGAGCUGACUUCUUAACACCUACAAAAGCAGCGGUCACACUACACCAGCUCUGGAAUCUGCACUAAGAUUCUCAUUCAAGAAUUCCAAGAUCUGCUUGAGCCCAUCUUCUCUGAAAUGGGCAGGCAGCCUGAUUCCACUUUCAAACUCUUAUGACUGAGAGUGAGUGUGUCUAACAAAACACAGAAGACCUCAGGGUAAAAAGAGUGAACAUUUACCUGGCAUUUGCUAAGUGCCAGGCACUGUUCUAAAAACCUUAUGUACAUUGUCUCAGCUCAUCUUCCCCCUGCCGGGAGCCGUCCAGGGAUUGCCUAAAGGCUCAGGCAAGGCCGAGCACUUCGGGAAUGGCCUGCAAGGCGGGAAUUCGGCUCGGGAGAGCUGCAAA